AAACUUUCUCUUGGUUCUGCUGUUGCUUUAGGUCUUUGACAUCCCGGUUUCUUGUGAAGAAUAAGCAAGCAAAUGGCUGUAAGCUACUACAUAAUGGUAAUGACAUCUCCAAGGAAAGAUACAACUAGUGAACAAGAUACUAACCAUUUUCUGUCGAACUUGGAACACUGUUAGAGUUGAGAAAUAAGAAAAUCAAUUUUAG
RNAcentral lists this unclassified non-coding RNA (202 nucleotides) under Hevea brasiliensis (rubber tree). The record is from RNAcentral. Lineage: Eukaryota; Viridiplantae; Streptophyta; Magnoliopsida; Malpighiales; Euphorbiaceae.